ACAGUUGAGGCUGGGAGCAGAAAUAAUCAACAUGCCCAUUAGAUACAGGACGGAAUAAUGCUUCUAUUGGUUGGGUCCCUUCGAGAGAGAACCAUUCUCUGCUUUCAAUAGGACAGAAGAGCUCCUUGGCACUGGAUGCCUCCGGGUCUGGUUGAGAGAGGAAUGGUUAGGAGACUGUUCUGAGGAUACGCAGACAUCAUCCAAAGCUUCCUACAUUCAGAUGAGGACAGAGGUUGGGCCAGAGCUUUGUAAGCUUGUUACCUAAGGAUGGUUCUGACCAUGUAAGCAGAUCACAGAAGCUGGAGGCAAAGGAUGCCAAGAUGGGAAAGCCACAUAAUGGAAGGAUCCUGGAUUUCAGAGCUGUCACUUGGAGGAGGGGCACCCAGUGAAGGUGUCUUAUCUAACCCACACCAUAUCUUCAUGAAGUGGCCAUAUGGAUUUGAUCCCUAUCCUUCAGAGGUGCUCAGCCUAAGGGAACACGGAUAGUAGAUUAAGCACUGACCAGAGCCAGCCUUGACAAUGUGCUGAUGGCAACCUAGAACAUAAGCAGAGGAGUAUACAGGACAAGAACUUGAUGGUCUCGGGAAAAUGGACAACAUGACUCAGGUGAAAAAGAUUGAUCAUCAGAUGUUUCUUAUGUAUCAACCUGAUAUUUAAAUCCAUGAAGGACAGAGACGACAAAGGCAGGUGGAAUAGAUAGAGAAGAGAUUCAAGGUCUGAGCUCUACAUUACUCAAACUGUUAGAGAUUAGGAAGAAGAGGAAGACCUGGCAAAAGAAUGUCCUGGGAUGUAGAAAGAAAACCAGAAGCUUGUGUUCUCUGGAAACCAAAUGAAGAAAGGGCUUCCAGAAGGACAGACAAAGUGUAGUGUGUCAAAGGCUCCUGAGCAAUCAGAGGAGAGCACAAAGGGGCUCACAGGACUUUGGUAUCUGGAUCACCCAGUGACACUUCCUGAUCACGAGAAACUGUCAGACCAACAGGGGCACUUUCUGAAACCAGCAGUUCUUCAGUGCCCAAAUGCAACCUUGAUGGUUUGAUUUUGGAGGAUGGCAAUUCAUUAACAGCACUCCCCAGUGAUAAAUAUGAAAACCAAUAAAACCCCCCACCCAAGGCAAUCUCUCCCAGCUCCUCGCUUUGAGUAAAGUGAGUAACCUCCAUUUCUGCCAACUCCUGUCUUGUCUGAAGCCACAUUUCCCCAGCAAUGUCACAUAUGCAUUUCUUGAUCCUGGUCAUUUCUCCUCUUGGGAGAUGAAUCAUAAAGAAAAUGAGAUCUGUGUGCCCUGGUGACUAUGGAUGCAAGAGUCUGCUGCCCUGGAGGGAACAGCUGGAAAAGUAGAUGGUGAAGACGUGUGGGGGGGAAACAGUGGAGAAGGCAUCUUUGCAGGGGAUCAAGGUGACAGAGUGAUUAGUUACACUGUUUUGACAUGUGAGAACAGGGGGUUAUAAAAAUGGAUACAGGAAGAGGGAGAGAAAGUAAGGACCAAAACAUGAAGCCAGUCAUGAAUGUUUUUACAUAAAAAGCAGCAGAUUUACGGCAAAUAUGUGAUGUUUCCACAUUUUCUGCCUCUAGUUAGCAGGGGCAGCACAAAGAGCAUUACUGUGGAGCUGAACUUUGGGUAAAAGAUUAACAGCCAGUCCUUUCUCUCCAGUGUCUGCUUCCUUCUGGGCUUGCCCUGGGGGAAAAGGAGGGCUGGCAUGGAUAUGCCUGCAGCCCUCACCCUAGAUGUUCUUCCACGCCUCUCUGUUCAUUCAUUGCUUAGUCAUUCCUCAGGCAUGGAUUGAGACCACUGUGUGCCCAGGACCGACCUGGCCUAGGAUGGACAUAGAGAUGGAAAAGGCACAGGGAGCAGGUGACAGAGACAAAUCAAGGUCAUGGAGAAUAGCAGAGUAAGAUAGAAGAUGAAGGCAGGAGAUGGGGUUCUUGAGAAAGCGAGAGCAGGACUGACCCGUGUCUGCCUCACCUGUUAUUGCUGUAGCCUCUUCUCCUUGGAGUAUCCCUCCUGCUCUUGCAUCACCUUAGGAACUUGGAUCAGAGAGGAAAGUUACGGCCUGGAUAUGUUGUAGUAGGAGGGGACAAACAUGUUUGGAGACAGAAAUGCUUGGGGAGCGGGUGUUUUUGGGGGAUGAGACUUUCCAGGUCUCUCAAUUCACACUAUGUAGGUAGUUCACUGCACAGCUUAAAUAAGAGACAACUCUCCGGAGUGGUUGGCUCUCAUCCAAAAAAUGUGUUUUGGGCCUCAGAUUUCCAACGGAAGGGCUGAAGCGUGACUGGCCUGAUGUCAACUACUGAAGUCCACCUGCCCCUGCCCUAUCAGGUGUGGAAAUGCUGGGGUUCCUCUCUCAGAACCUACUUCCUGAGAUGUCGAAAUAUACCCAAGAGUAUUUCUGGGCCUUCUCCAAUCCGAAACUGUUUAGUUUUUGUGUGUGUGUGCCUACUUGGCCACACUAGAAGACAGAGGUGGCCUGGGUGAAAUGCAGGUUUCUAGAGGCUCUCUGACAAAGCUCAGGCCACCAGCCCCAGGCCAGCCUGUGGGUAGUCCUGGCUGACAGUCACUUCAUACCUCACCUGGGCUUUUUGCCAAAUUCAAAGUGUGUGUAUAUGUGGAGUGCUGGGUUCCCACCACUGACAGUCUGUAAGUCAUUCACUUAGCUCAAUUUGUCUUACUUUCUUCUGAAAUUUCUUCCUUCUUGUUCUUUUUCCCAGGAGAAACCAGGAGAAGGCAGUCCUAGGGCAGUCUCCGGGCCAGCUUUCCCUAAUAAGAAGGCAGAGCUCCUCUUCACCCAGACUUCAGACCUAUAGAGGCAGCCUGGGGUCCCGGGAUGCCCUUGCACUCAGAGAUGUCCCCAGAGUCCUAGGGAAAUGGAGGAUAACUAGGAGGAAGCUGUUCAUGGCUGGCGAUGAGGUCUAUACCUUCUUGUCCGUCUCAGUGCUGUCUGCUAUUGAAUUUUUGUGCAGAUCACAUUAACUUAAAGCCAGUUCUCAAGAAGCUCCCCCUGCCGCCGGCAUAUCCACCAGUUGCUCCCCUUUCCUGCCAUUAAUCAGGGUCUGCUAGUUAGAGAACAAAUUCCUAUUUGUCCAAACAGUUGCCAACACCCCCACCCCAAGGUAGUUAAAUGAGGAUGAAUGGGUCAUUCUUAUUAAAAAAUGACUUAAAUUUCUCAAAUUCUAUUUAUGUUUCUUUUACAUCCCAAUUUUCUAUAGAUUUAGUGACUCCAAAUGAUAAGGUCUCAAGCUCAUAAUAAUUUAUCCCUUGGGUAACACACAAGGCUUGGUGGUAUUUCAGUAAUAUUCAUGACAACAGCAGCUGUCGUGCUAAUAAGGACUGAUGUCACCAGAGCACUUUCUAUGUGCCAAGCAUGGUGCACAACACUUUACAUACAUUAUGUCAUUUAAUUUUCA
RNAcentral lists this long non-coding RNA (3399 nucleotides) under Homo sapiens (human). RNAcentral describes it as "PROX1 antisense RNA 1 (PROX1-AS1)". The record is from RNAcentral. Lineage: Eukaryota; Metazoa; Chordata; Mammalia; Primates; Hominidae.